AUCAGCUUGGUGGGGUCUAAAAACUUUUCUCUAACCUGUAACAGAUUUAUAUUACAUUAUAUCAUUCUCCUUUUUUCUUUCCAAAUAAAGGCCUUUUAUUGAAAACUGACUGAAAUAUUUUGGCAAAGCAACCACCCUUUUCUUAAACCCGUAUUUUCUUUCCUUAUUUCUGUAUUACCUGAUCUUUUGUGUAUCAUUUCCUUGAUGUACUUGCAUAAUCGGGGAACCAUUUCUGAAACAAGUGUUGAUAUUUUUCAUGUA
This 261-nucleotide unclassified non-coding RNA is filed under the name Hevea brasiliensis (rubber tree). Lineage: Eukaryota; Viridiplantae; Streptophyta; Magnoliopsida; Malpighiales; Euphorbiaceae. The record is from RNAcentral.